Dreissena polymorpha is the source of this 319-nucleotide long non-coding RNA. RefSeq lists it as uncharacterized. The record is from RefSeq and is a predicted model, not a curated record. NCBI's taxonomy places the organism in Eukaryota, Metazoa, Mollusca, Bivalvia, Myida, Dreissenidae. The transcript has 3 exons.
AAUCCACCUUGCGACUGCCAGUCAUGGAAAUCCUAAAGCAGAAGGUCUAUACAAGCUGAUGACAGAUAUAAAUCUGUUAGCGUUCUGUAUCUUUCUACUGGAUGCACUGGACCCAGCGAUGAGGCUUUCCCUCAAGCUCCAAAGAUCUGAUGUGACGCUCUGUGAUAGCCUGUGCUGGAUUGAAAGCACAAUGGAAAUUCUACAAGAAAAGAAAGGAAGAAUAUGGUGAUGAGGACGUUCAACUGGUGUGUUCCCAUUUUGAGAAAACGCUGAAGCGUGCGGUGGCAGAGUUCACACCAGUGGCAGCAAUAAACGAGUG